UGGGGAAUUUUGGACAAUGGGCGAAAGCCUGAUCCAGCAAUGCCGCGUGUGUGAAGAAGGCCUUCGGGUUGUAAAGCACUUUUGUCCGGAAAGAAAUCCUUGGCUCUAAUACAGUCGGGGGAUGACGGUACCGGAAGAAUAAGCACCGGCUAACUACGUGCCAGCAGCCGCGGUAAUACGUAGGGUGCAAGCGUUAAUCGGAAUUACUGGGCGUAAAGCGUGCGCAGGCGGUUUGCUAAGACCGAUGUGAAAUCCCCGGGCUCAACCUGGGAACUGCAUUGGUGACUGGCAGGCUAGAGUAUGGCAGAGGGGGGUAGAAUUCCACGUGUAGCAGUGAAAUGCGUAGAGAUGUGGAGGAAUACCGAUGGCGAAGGCAGCCCCCUGGGCCAAUACUGACGCUCAUGCACGAAAGCGUGGGGGAGCAAACAGGAUUAGAUACCCUGGUAGUCCACGCCCUAAACGAUGUCAACUAGUUGUUGGGGAUUCAUUUCCUUAGUAACGUAGCUAACGCGUGAAGUUGACCGCCUGGGGAGUACGGUCGCAAGAUUAAAACUCAAAUGAAUUGACGGGGU
Molecule: ribosomal RNA, 572 nt
Filed under: uncultured bacterium
Lineage: Bacteria
Description: partial 16S ribosomal RNA
Rfam family: Bacterial small subunit ribosomal RNA
Source: RNAcentral